RNAcentral lists this ribosomal RNA (856 nucleotides) under uncultured bacterium. RNAcentral's name for it is "bacterial SSU rRNA". It matches the Rfam family "Bacterial small subunit ribosomal RNA", at positions 44 to 887 of the family's 1533-position model. The record is from RNAcentral.
AGGCCUAACACAUGCAAGUCGAGCGGUAGCAGGAAGUGCUUGCACUUCGCUGACGAGCGGCGGACGGGUGCGUAACACGUAGGAAUCUGCCCGGUAGUGGGGGAUAGCCCGGAGAAAUUCGGAUUAAUACCGCAUACGCCCUAAGGGGGAAAGCAGGGGAUCGGUUCGCCGACCUUGCGCUAUCGGAUGAGCCUGCGUCGGAUUAGCUUGUUGGUGGGGUAAAGGCCUACCAAGGCGACGAUCCGUAGCUGGUCUGAGAGGAUGAUCAGCCACACUGGGACUGAGACACGGCCCAGACUCCUACGGGAGGCAGCAGUGGGGAAUAUUGCACAAUGGGCGAAAGCCUGAUGCAGCCAUGCCGCGUGUGUGAAGAAGGCCCUAGGGUUGUAAAGCACUUUCAGUGGGGAGGAAAGGUCGAAGGUUAAUACCCUUUGGCUGUGACGUUACCCACAGAAGAAGCACCGGCUAACUCCGUGCCAGCAGCCGCGGUAAUACGGAGGGUGCGAGCGUUAAUCGGAAUUACUGGGCGUAAAGCGUGCGUAGGCGGCCAUUUAAGUUGGAUGUGAAAGCCCCGGGCUCAACCUGGGAACUGCAUCCAAAACUGGGUGGCUUGAGUGCGAGAGAGGAGUGUGGAAUUUCCUGUGUAGCGGUGAAAUGCGUAGAUAUAGGAAGGAACACCAGUGGCGAAGGCGACACUCUGGCUUGACACUGACGCUGAGGUACGAAAGCGUGGGGAGCAAACAGGAUUAGAUACCCUGGUAGUCCACGCCGUAAACGAUGUCUACUAGUUGUCGGUGGUCUUGUACUGCUGGUAACGCAGCUAACGCGAUAAGUAGACCGCCUGGGGAGUACGGCC